RNAcentral lists this ribosomal RNA (465 nucleotides) under Vreelandella stevensii. Its description in RNAcentral is "partial 16S ribosomal RNA". It matches the Rfam family "Bacterial small subunit ribosomal RNA", at positions 338 to 795 of the family's 1533-position model. The record is from RNAcentral. Lineage: Bacteria; Pseudomonadati; Pseudomonadota; Gammaproteobacteria; Oceanospirillales; Halomonadaceae.
CCUACGGGAGGCUGCAGUGGGGAAUAUUGGACAAUGGGGGGAACCCUGAUCCAGCCAUGCCGCGUGUGUGAAGAAGGCCCUCGGGUUGUAAAGCACUUUCAGUGAGGAAGAACGCCUGGUGGUUAAUACCCAUCAGGAAAGACAUCACUCACAGAAGAAGCACCGGCUAACUCCGUGCCAGCAGCCGCGGUAAUACGGAGGGUGCGAGCGUUAAUCGGAAUUACUGGGCGUAAAGCGCGCGUAGGUGGCUUGAUAAGCCGGUUGUGAAAGCCCCGGGCUCAACCUGGGAACGGCAUCCGGAACUGUCAAGCUAGAGUGCAGGAGAGGAAGGUAGAAUUGCCGGUGUAGCGGUGAAAUGCGUAGAGAUCGGGAGGAAUACCAGUGGCGAAGGCGGCCUUCUGGACUGACACUGACACUGAGGUGCGAAAGCGUGGGUAGCAAACAGGAUUAGAUACCCCUGUAGUC